Molecule: long non-coding RNA, 1310 nt
Filed under: Malus domestica (apple)
Lineage: Eukaryota; Viridiplantae; Streptophyta; Magnoliopsida; Rosales; Rosaceae
Description: long non-coding RNA (MDOM_LNC016571)
Source: RNAcentral
AAAAAUAAAUUGAUUACAAACUCGUUAUUCACGAGAUUCCAACCUAAGAUGCUAAAAGUGUGUUUGUUUGAGUUCACUAGCCUUCAUUGGAUUGGACUACACUAAAAAUUAGUGUAGUCCCGUGUUUGUUAAUCAUAGGGACUAAUUUUAGUGGGACUAAACAAGAUUCGUCUCGACUAGAGACCUCGUUAGAGGUUCUUAGCGAAGCCCCCCAAAAUGCAGCGGAAUGCUAUGCCUUUCCUUCGUUUGCUUCGUUUGUUCGCUGCCUCAUCGUAAUCAACGACCUCGAUGUCAAAUCGUUCACUCCUUCCCUGCAUGGGUCUUCGUCUCUCUCCCUGCUCUAUCUCAUUAAGACCCACCCCUAAAUCCCAAAAUUGAAUUAGCACCCACCGAUGGGUCGAUUUGAUCCGAGGCCCAGAUCGAUGCCGGGGCCACCCCACUCCUUUUCCCAAGGUCAUCUCCCGCUCUCUUUGUCUAAGUCUCGACGAUGGCUACCACCGUCGUAGCACCGCUUCAACUUGCUCAAAAUGAGGCUGAAUUUAAAUGAUGUUGGCUGCGAAGUCCAUCUGGGCAUGACAAACUGAUAUUUUCAAAUGGAAAGAUGUAAUGCCAUAUAUCCUCAAUCUUCAUCAGAUUUGCUUAUUUUUUGGUAAUAUAAUAUGAAUUUCAAAUUUUUGAAUAUGUUUCAUUUGGUUUAAUGGUGUUUGCAAUGGUGGUUCUUUCUAAUUUAAGCUGAAAUUAUAGAAAGCACCAUUUUUGGGUUUGUAUAUAUAUAUGUGUGUGUGUGUACACACACAUAUACAUACACGCACACAUAUAUGUAUGUAUAUAUGUUUUUGCUAGAUCUGAUGUAUGGCUUUUGUAUUAUUUGUUCUUGUUGGUAUAUUUCCUUAUUCGCAUAACCCACAUUGAUUCUUUUGUGUAAAUUUGAUUUUUUUGGGGAAAAGUUGUGAUGGGUUGCUUUGUUGUGGAUGGGUUUUUGUUUAAAUGUGAAACAAAUUAUCAAUUGUUGGAACUUGGUUCUGAAAUCUCAAGAAUUUUGCAAUUUCUAAUAUGGUAAAUGGCACUAGUGGCAAUUGCCAGUAGAAGAAAGGAGGUUGGAUUAAAGAUGAUAUUUGAGUGACACCAAUAUACUUUGAACAUGACGAAGAUGAAAUGUUUAACAGGAAUAACAAUAUUUGGUUGAAAUUGAAGUUGAAGCAAAUAAAAUAUUUUGUAAUAUAUCAUGGGUUUUUUAUUUUUAUUUUUUAUUAUCCUGCUUCUUAAUCCGAAAUUGUACUAAACACUUCACCAAGUUAGUUUAGCUUAGU